GAUGAAGAACGUAGCGAAAUGCGAUAAGUAAUGUGAAUUGCAGAAUUCAGUGAAUCAUCGAAUCUUUGAACGCACAUUGCGCCCGCCAGUAUUCUGGCGGGCAUGCCUGUCUGAGCGUCAUUUCAACCCUCAUGCCCCUAGGGCGUGGUGUUGGGGAUCGGCCAAAGCCCGCGAGGGACGGCCGGCCCCUAAAUCUAGUGGCGGACCCGUCGUGGCCUCCUCUGCGAAGUAGUGAUAUUCCGCAUCGGAGAGCGAUGAGCCCCUGCCGUUAAACCCCCAACUUUCCAAGGUUGACCUCAAAUCAGGUAGGAAUACCCGCUGAACUUAAGCAUAUCAAUAAGCGGAGGA
This 348-nucleotide unclassified non-coding RNA is filed under the name soil metagenome. Its description in RNAcentral is "partial contains 5.8S ribosomal RNA, internal transcribed spacer 2, and large subunit ribosomal RNA". The stretch from base 1 to 120 matches the Rfam family "5.8S ribosomal RNA", at positions 35 to 154 of the family's 154-position model. The record is from RNAcentral.